CAGGGGGUAGUUUAAUUUAAAAUAUUAGCUUUGGGGGCUAGUGAUGAGUUGUUGAUUUCUUUUUCCUGA
Molecule: transfer RNA, 69 nt
Filed under: Glyptotermes pubescens
Lineage: Eukaryota; Metazoa; Arthropoda; Insecta; Blattodea; Kalotermitidae
Description: tRNA-Pro
Source: RNAcentral